UAGUAAGUUGGCAGAAUAGUGCCACUGACUUAGGAUCGGUUCAUGGACUUCGUCCACUUACUAU
RNAcentral lists this transfer RNA (64 nucleotides) under Octolasion lacteum. RNAcentral's name for it is "tRNA-Leu". The record is from RNAcentral. Lineage: Eukaryota; Metazoa; Annelida; Clitellata; Crassiclitellata; Lumbricidae.